GAUCCUGGCUCAGGAUGAACGCUAGCUACAGGCUUAACACAUGCAAGUCGAGGGGCAGCAUGAACAAAGCUUGCUUUGUUUGAUGGCGACCGGCGCACGGGUGAGUAACGCGUAUCCGACCUGCCCAUGACUCGGGCACAGCCGCUCGAAAGAGCGAUUGAUUCCCGAUAUGUCUUUGGAGUAUAUUCUUAGAUGAAAGAUUUAUCGGUUAUGGAUGGGGAUGCGUAAGAUUAGGUAGUAGGCGGGGUAACGGCCCACCUAGCCGACGAUCUUUAGGGGUUCUGAGAGGAAGGUCCCCCACACUGGUACUGAGACACGGACCAGACUCCUACGGGAGGCAGCAGUGAGGAAUAUUGGUCAAUGGUCGAGAGACUGAACCAGCCAAGUCGCGUGAGGGAAGACUGCCCUAUGGGUUGUAAACCUCUUUAGUCGGGGAGCAAAAAAGCGGACGUGUCCGCCAUUGAGCGUACCCGAAGAAUAAGCAUCGGCUAACUCCGUG
RNAcentral lists this ribosomal RNA (499 nucleotides) under uncultured bacterium. RNAcentral describes it as "bacterial SSU rRNA". It matches the Rfam family "Bacterial small subunit ribosomal RNA", at positions 15 to 507 of the family's 1533-position model. The record is from RNAcentral.